Marchantia polymorpha subsp. ruderalis is the source of this 92-nucleotide non-coding RNA. The record is from the annotation of a GenBank genome assembly. Lineage: Eukaryota; Viridiplantae; Streptophyta; Marchantiopsida; Marchantiales; Marchantiaceae.
UGAGAUGGAGCAAAGUGCUGCGGGGGGUUGGAUAUGACUUUUGAACUUUCAGCAGUGAUAUCCAACCAAUCCUCAGUACAUUGCCCUACUCA